RNAcentral lists this ribosomal RNA (253 nucleotides) under uncultured bacterium. Its description in RNAcentral is "partial 16S ribosomal RNA". It matches the Rfam family "Bacterial small subunit ribosomal RNA", at positions 524 to 776 of the family's 1533-position model. The record is from RNAcentral.
UACGUAGGGCGCAAGCGUUGUCCGGAAUUAUUGGGCGUAAAGAGCUCGUAGGCGGCCUGUUGCGUCCGCUGUGAAAUCCCGGGGCUUAACCCCGGGCGUGCAGUGGAUACGGGCAGGCUGGAGGCAGGCAGGGGAGAACGGAAUUCCCGGUGUAGCGGUGAAAUGCGCAGAUAUCGGGAGGAACACCGGUGGCGAAGGCGGUUCUCUGGGCCUGUACUGACGCUAAGGAGCGAAAGCGUGGGGAGCGAACAGG